CCUACGGGAGGCAGCAGUGGGGAAUAUUGCACAAUGGGGGAAACCCUGAUGCAGCGACGCCGCGUGAGUGAAGAAGUAAUUCGUUAUGUAAAGCUCUAUCAGCAGGGAAGAAAAUGACGGUACCUGAGUAAGAAGCCCCGGCUAACUACGUGCCAGCAGCCGGGGUAAUAAGUAGGCGGCAAGCGUUAUCCGGAUUUACUGGGUGUAAAGGGAGCGUAGACGGCAGUGCAAGUCUGGAGUGAAAGGCGGGGGCUCAACCCCCGGACUGCUCUGGAAACUGUACGGCUGGAGGGCGGGAGAGGUAAGUGGAAUUCGUAGUGUAGCGGUGAAAUGCGUAGAUAUUAGGAAGAACACCAGUGGCGAAGGCGGCUUACUGGACUGUAACUGACGUUGAGGCUCGAAAGCGUGGGGAGCAAACAGGAUUAGAUACCCGUGUAGUC
Molecule: ribosomal RNA, 440 nt
Filed under: uncultured bacterium
Lineage: Bacteria
Description: partial 16S ribosomal RNA
Rfam family: Bacterial small subunit ribosomal RNA
Source: RNAcentral